Molecule: ribosomal RNA, 299 nt
Filed under: uncultured bacterium
Lineage: Bacteria
Description: partial 16S ribosomal RNA
Rfam family: Bacterial small subunit ribosomal RNA
Source: RNAcentral
AGUGAACGCUGGCGGCAGGCCUAACACAUGCAAGUCGAGCGGCAGCGGGUCCCCGCGAGGGGAUGCCGGCGAGCGGCGGACGGGUGAGGAACACAUCGGAAUCUGCCUGGUUGUGGGGGAUAACGUAGGGAAACUUACGCUAAUACCGCAUGCGACCCUGAGUCGACGGACUUGGGGUGAAAGUGAGGGACCUUCGGGCCUCACGCGACCAGAUGAGCCGAUGUCGGAUUAGCUAGUUGGCGGGGUAACGGCCCGCCAAGGCGACGAUCCGUAGCUGGUCUGAGAGGAUGAUCAGCCAC